Molecule: ribosomal RNA, 1312 nt
Filed under: metagenome
Description: bacterial LSU rRNA
Rfam family: Bacterial large subunit ribosomal RNA
Source: RNAcentral
GGAUUGGGAGGGUUCUACGGAACCCGUUUGGUGAAUCUAGUGCCGAGAAAAGCCUUCUAUGUGUUGAAUUUCUAGUACCCGUACCCCAAACCGACACAGGUGGGUGGGUAGAGCAUACCUAGGGGCGCGUGAUAACUCUCUCUAAGGAACUCGGCAAAAUGGCCCUGUAACUUCGGGAUAAGGGGUGCCUGCGUGAGCAGGCCGCAGUGAAAUGGCUCUGGCGACUGUUUACCAAAAACACAGGUCUCUGCUAAGUCGUAAGACGAUGUAUAGGGGCUGACUCCUGCCCAGUGCCGGAAGGUUAAGGAAGUUGGUUAGCGCAAGCGAAGCUGGCGACCGAAGCCCCGGUGAACGGCGGCCGUAACGAUAACGGUCCUAAGGUAGCGAAAUUCCUUGUCGGGUAAGUUCCGACCCGCACGAAAGGAGUAACGAUCAGAGCGCUGUCUCGGAGAGAGACACGGCGAAAUAGGAUUGUCCGUGAAGAUACGGACUACCUGCACCCGGACAGAAAGACCCUAUGAAGCUUUACUGUAACUUGGAAUUGUGUUCGGACUUUGUCUGCGCAGAAUAGGUGGGAGGCUAUGAAACGUUCCUCGCGGGGAACUGGAGCCAUCGUUGAGAUACCACUCUGGCAGAGUCUGGAUUCUAACCUACGGGGACAGUUCCAGGUGGGCAGUUUGACUGGGGCGGUCGCCUCCUAAAAUGUAACGGAGGCGCGCAAAGGUUCCCUCAGGCUGGUUGGAAAUCAGCCAUAGAGUGUAAAAGCAUAAGGGAGCUUGACUGUGAGACCUACAAGUCGAGCAGGGACGAAAGUCGGCUUUAGUGAUCCGACGGCACUGAGUGGAAGGGCCGUCGCUCAACGGAUAAAAGUUACUCUAGGAUAACAGGCUGAUCUCCCCCAAGAGUUCACAUCGACGGGGAGGUUUGGCACCUCGAUGUCGGCUCGUCGCAACCUGGGGCGGUAGUACGUCCCAAGGGUUGGGCUGUUCGCCCAUUAAAGCGGCACGUGAGCUGGGUUCAGAACGUCGUGAGACAGUUCGGUCCAUAUCCGGUGUAGGCGUAGGAGCAUUGAAAGGAUCUCUCCUUAGUACGAGAGGACCGGGAGGGACGUACCUCUGGUGUACCUGUUAUCGUGCCAACGGUAAACGCAGGGUAGCCAUGUACGGAGUGGAUAACCGCUGAAAGCAUCUAAGUGGGAGGCCCACCUUAAGAUGAGUGCUCCCUUGAGGCCACGGGAAGACGACCCGUUUGAUAGGCGCUAGGUGGAAGUGCAGUAAUGCAUGCAGCCGAGGCGUACUAAUAGGCCGAUGGC